UGAGGAACAUGACCUUCGGCGGGGGAUAGCCGGCCCAACGGCCGGGUAAUACCGCGUACGACCACAUGGGGACAUCCCUGAGUGGUGAAAGCAGCAAUGCGCCGAUGGAGUGCCUCGCGGCCUAUCAGCUAGUUGGUGAGGUAACGGCUCACCAAGGCAACGACGGGUAGCUGGUCUGAGAGGAUGGCCAGCCACAUUGGGACUGCGACACGGCCCAGACCUCUACGGGA
RNAcentral lists this ribosomal RNA (230 nucleotides) under uncultured bacterium. RNAcentral describes it as "partial 16S ribosomal RNA". It matches the Rfam family "Bacterial small subunit ribosomal RNA", at positions 118 to 346 of the family's 1533-position model. The record is from RNAcentral.